RNAcentral lists this ribosomal RNA (497 nucleotides) under uncultured bacterium. RNAcentral describes it as "partial 16S ribosomal RNA". It matches the Rfam family "Bacterial small subunit ribosomal RNA", at positions 28 to 507 of the family's 1533-position model. The record is from RNAcentral.
GAUGAACGCUGGCGGCGUGCCUAAUACAUGCAAGUCGAGCGAACAGACGAGGAGCUUGCUCCUCUGACGUUAGCGGCGGACGGGUGAGUAACACGUGGAUAACCUACCUAUAAGACUGGGAUAACUUCGGGAAACCGGAGCUAAUACCGGAUAAUAUAUUGAACCGCAUGGUUCAAUAGUGAAAGACGGUUUUGCUGUCACUUAUAGAUGGAUCCGCGCCGCAUUAGCUAGUUGGUAAGGUAACGGCUUACCAAGGCAACGAUGCGUAGCCGACCUGAGAGGGUGAUCGGCCACACUGGAACUGAGACACGGUCCAGACUCCUACGGGAGGCAGCAGUAGGGAAUCUUCCGCAAUGGGCGAAAGCCUGACGGAGCAACGCCGCGUGAGUGAUGAAGGUCUUCGGAUCGUAAAACUCUGUUAUUAGGGAAGAACAAAUGUGUAAGUAACUAUGCGCGUCUUGACGGUACCUAAUCAGAAAGCCACGGCUAACCACGUG